RNAcentral lists this antisense RNA (187 nucleotides) under Chlorokybus atmophyticus. Its description in RNAcentral is "Antisense RNA which regulates isiA expression". It matches the Rfam family "Antisense RNA which regulates isiA expression". The record is from Rfam by way of RNAcentral. Lineage: Eukaryota; Viridiplantae; Streptophyta; Chlorokybophyceae; Chlorokybales; Chlorokybaceae.
GGUAUCCAAAAAUGGUUGCAGGGUUUCCAGUAGGAUUUGUAAUAACUCUUACAUCUCCACCUCCUGGUGCCCAAGUAUCAUAAACACCGCCAAAAUACAUAGCUUUUCCUACUAGUAGUAGAGCACCAGCACCUAAAAGAAUAAGAUGAAUACCAAGAAUGGUAGUCAUUUUAUUUUUAUCUUUCCA